This 305-nucleotide ribosomal RNA is filed under the name uncultured bacterium. RNAcentral describes it as "partial 16S ribosomal RNA". It matches the Rfam family "Bacterial small subunit ribosomal RNA", at positions 508 to 809 of the family's 1533-position model. The record is from RNAcentral.
ACAGCAGUAGCCGCGGGAAUACAGAGGGUGCGAGCGUUAAUCGGAUUUACUGGGCGUAAAGCGUGCGUAGGCGGCUUUUUAAGUCGGAUGUGAAAUCCCUGAGCUUAACUUAGGAAUUGCAUUCGAUACUGGGAAGCUAGAGUAUGGGAGAGGAUGGUAGAAUUCCAGGUGUAGCGGUAAAAUGCGUAGAGAUCUGGAGGAAUACCGAUGGCGAAGGCAGCCAUCUGGCCUAAUACUGACGCUGAGGUACGAAAGCAUGGGGAGCAAACAGGAUUAGAGACCCCUGUAGUCCCUGUCUCUUAUAA